CCUACGGGAGGCUGCAGUGGGGAAUAUUGGACAAUGGGGGCAACCCUGAUCCAGCCAUGCCGCGUGUGUGAAGAAGGCCCUCGGGUUGUAAAGCACUUUCAGUGAGGAAGAACGCCUGGUGGUUAAUACCCAUCAGGAAAGACAUCACUCACAGAAGAAGCACCGGCUAACUCCGUGCCAGCAGCCGCGGUAAUACGGAGGGUGCGAGCGUUAAUCGGAAUUACUGGGCGUAAAGCGCGCGUAGGUGGCUUGAUAAGCCGGUUGUGAAAGCCCCGGGCUCAACCUGGGAACGGCAUCCGGAACUGUCAAGCUAGAGUGCAGGAGAGGAAGGUAGAAUUCCCGGUGGAGCGGUGAAAUGCGUAGAGAUCGGGAGGAAUACCAGUGGCGAAGGCGGCCUUCUGGACUGACACUGACACUGAGGUGCGAAAGCGUGGGUAGCAAACAGGAUUAGAUACCCGGGUAGUC
This 465-nucleotide ribosomal RNA is filed under the name Vreelandella stevensii. RNAcentral describes it as "partial 16S ribosomal RNA". It matches the Rfam family "Bacterial small subunit ribosomal RNA", at positions 338 to 795 of the family's 1533-position model. The record is from RNAcentral. Lineage: Bacteria; Pseudomonadati; Pseudomonadota; Gammaproteobacteria; Oceanospirillales; Halomonadaceae.